AGGAUUCCCCUAGUAACUGCGAGUGAAGCGGGAAAAGCUCAAAUUUAAAAUCUGGCGGUCUUCUGGCCGUCCGAGUUGUAGUCUGGAGAAGCGUUUUCCGCGUUGGACCGUGUACAAGUUUCCUGGAACGGAGCGUCAUAGAGGGUGAGAAUCCCGUCUUUGACACGGAUCCCAAUGCUUUGUGAUGCGCUCUCAAAGAGUCGAGUUGUUUGGGAAUGCAGCUCAAAAUGGGUGGUGAAUUCCAUCUAAAGCUAAAUAUUGGCGAGAGACCGAUAGCGAACAAGUACCGUGAGGGAAAGAUGAAAAGCACUUUGGAAAGAGAGUUAAACAGUACGUGAAAUUGUUGAAAGGGAAACGCUUGAAGUCAGUCGCGUCGGCCGGGACUCAGCCUUGCAUCCGCUUGGUGUACUUUCCGGUCGACGGGCCAGCAUCAGUUUUGACCGCGAGAUAAAGGCGGAGGGAAUGUGGCUCUCUCGGGAGUGUUAUAGCCCUUCGUCAGAUGUCGCGGUUGGGACUGAGGAACUCAGCACGCCUUUAUGGCCGGGGCUCGCCCACGUACGUGCUUAGGAUGCUGGCGUAAUGGCUUUAAACGACCCGUCUUGAAACACGGACCAAGGAGUCUAACAUGCCUGCGAGUGUUCGGGUGGAAAACCCGUGCGCGCAAUGAAAGUGAAAGUUGGGAUCCCUGUCGUGGGGUGCACCGACGCCCGGCCCAGACCUUUUGUGACGGAGCUGCGGUAGAGCAUGUAUGUUGGGACCCGAAAGAUGGUGAACUAUGCCUGAAUAGGGUGAAGCCAGAGGAAACUCUGGUGGAGGCUCGUAGCGAUUCUGACGUGCAAAUCGAUCGUCAAAUUU
This 855-nucleotide ribosomal RNA is filed under the name Stereum sp. RNAcentral's name for it is "partial large subunit ribosomal RNA". It matches the Rfam family "Eukaryotic large subunit ribosomal RNA", at positions 71 to 912 of the family's 3401-position model. The record is from RNAcentral. Lineage: Eukaryota; Fungi; Basidiomycota; Agaricomycetes; Russulales; Stereaceae.